GUGUUCGUUGAAAGGAGAGACGGUUGGCAUCUUCCCUGACAGGGACGGGAUCAACCCUCGAGCUUACCUGUUACCACUUAAGCAUCAAAUGCCUACACUGGGUAAAGCACCUCAAAUACUCUUGACGUUUUUUU
RNAcentral lists this non-coding RNA (134 nucleotides) under Nelumbo nucifera (sacred lotus). The record is from RNAcentral. Lineage: Eukaryota; Viridiplantae; Streptophyta; Magnoliopsida; Proteales; Nelumbonaceae.